Molecule: long non-coding RNA, 354 nt
Organism: Nematostella vectensis (starlet sea anemone)
Lineage: Eukaryota; Metazoa; Cnidaria; Anthozoa; Actiniaria; Edwardsiidae
Exons: 2
Source: RefSeq, a predicted model, not a curated record
CUUUCGUUUUGAUCCAUUUCUUUGCACCUGUAAAAUCCCUCCCUGGGGGUAUAUAUUUUUUCUGCUGCAUAAUAUUUUCUCAUUGACCUGUUAAUUAUACAAGUGAUACUCUAAUGGGAUAACAGUGCUUGAUUCUCCAUCUUUUCUUGUUCUGAGGUGCUGUGUAUGUCACGAUGCAUGUUACGAAGAUCUCAGAAAGAGAAAGAUUUGCGGUAACGUUCUAAAGACGCAAUUCUCAGGAGAGAGCUGAAAAGAGCCCAUAGACACAACACGAAGAGGCCAGCUUCUCACCUAGCCCUUGUGACGGCCAACGUAUCAAACUCCAAGUAUAUUUGAAUGCCACUAUGAAUAAUU